RNAcentral lists this ribosomal RNA (421 nucleotides) under Acanthamoeba genotype T2. RNAcentral describes it as "SSU rRNA". It matches the Rfam family "Eukaryotic small subunit ribosomal RNA", at positions 768 to 1098 of the family's 1831-position model. Lineage: Eukaryota; Discosea; Longamoebia; Acanthamoebidae. The record is from RNAcentral.
AUAGGUUUUCAAGCAUGCAGAUUCAUUUUCUGCCACCGAAUACAUUAGCAUGGGAUAAUGGAAUAGGACCCUGUCCUCCUAUCUUCAGUUGGUUAACUUGUAGAGGAUCAGGGUAAUGAUUAAUAGGGAUAGUUGGGGGCAUUAAUAUUUAAUUGUCAGAGGUGAAAUUCUUGGAUUUAUGAAAGAUUAACUUCUGCGAAAGCAUCUGCCAAGGAUGUUUUCAUUAAUCAAGAACGAAAGUUAGGGGAUCGAAGACGAUCAGAUACCGUCGUAGUCUUAACCAUAAACGAUGCCGACCAGCGAUUAGGAGACGUUGAAUACAAAACACCACCAUGUAUAAUUCAGUAUAUGGCCAGUCAAAUGGUUGUAUAUUGUUUGUAUAUGGCACCGGUGAAUGACUCCCCUAGCACUUUUGUGAGAA